GACGAACGCUGGCGGCGUGCUUAACACAUGCAAGUCGAGCGGUAAGGCCCUUUCGGGGGUACGACGAGCGGCGAACGGGUGAGUAACACGUGGGUGACCUGCCCUCAGCUCUGGGAUAAGCCUGGGAAACUGGGUCUAAUACUGGAUAUGACUCCACGGUGCAUGUCGUGGGGUGGAAAGCCUUGUGCGGCUGAGGAUGGGCCCGCGGCCUAUCAGCUUGUUGGUGGGGUGAUGGCCUACCAAGGCGACGACGGGUAGCCGGCCUGAGAGGGCGACCGGCCACACUGGGACUGAGACACGGCCCAGACUCCUACGGGAGGCAGCAGUGGGGAAUCUUGCGCAAUGGGCGAAAGCCUGACGCAGCGACGCCGCGUGAGGGAUGACGGCCU
This 389-nucleotide ribosomal RNA is filed under the name uncultured bacterium. RNAcentral describes it as "bacterial SSU rRNA". It matches the Rfam family "Bacterial small subunit ribosomal RNA", at positions 28 to 417 of the family's 1533-position model. The record is from RNAcentral.